UCUGCCUGUGUGCUCUUGAUCUUAUCUGCACUCAGACACUAAGCAGUCCUAGGGCUGGCUAGUACUUGGAGUGUAGACACCUGAGAUCCUAGGU
Chelonoidis abingdonii (Abingdon island giant tortoise) is the source of this 94-nucleotide ribosomal RNA. The record is from Ensembl. Lineage: Eukaryota; Metazoa; Chordata; Testudines; Testudinidae.